UGUCUACUUUUAAAACAGAUACUCUGACAA
RNAcentral lists this non-coding RNA (30 nucleotides) under Rattus norvegicus (Norway rat). Lineage: Eukaryota; Metazoa; Chordata; Mammalia; Rodentia; Muridae. The record is from RNAcentral.